ACGGGAGGCAGCAGUGAGGAAUAUUGGUCAAUGGGCGGAAGCCUGAACCAGCCAUGCCGCGUGAAGGAAUAAGGUCCUAUGGGUCGUAAACUUCUUUUGUGGUGGAGCAAUAAGGUGCACGUGUGCAUCGAUGAGAGUACAUCACGAAUAAGCAUCGGCUAACUCCGUGCCAGCAGCCGCGGUAAUACGGAGGAUGCAAGCGUUAUCCGGAUUUAUUGGGUUUAAAGGGUGCGUAGGCUGUUCUUCAAGUCAGAGGUGAAAUACCGGGGCUCAACCCUGGAACUGCCUUUGAUACUGGAGGGCUGGAAUACUGUUGCCGUGGGAGGAAUGAGUAGUGUAGCGGUGAAAUGCAUAGAUAUUACUCAGAACACCGAUUGCGAAGGCAUCUCACGAAACAGCGAUUGACGCUGAGGCACGAAAGCGUGGGGAUCAAACAGGAUUAGAUACCCUGGUA
Molecule: ribosomal RNA, 454 nt
Filed under: uncultured Rikenellaceae bacterium
Lineage: Bacteria; Pseudomonadati; Bacteroidota; Bacteroidia; Bacteroidales; Rikenellaceae
Description: partial 16S ribosomal RNA
Rfam family: Bacterial small subunit ribosomal RNA
Source: RNAcentral